Molecule: non-coding RNA, 540 nt
Organism: Osmia lignaria (orchard mason bee)
Lineage: Eukaryota; Metazoa; Arthropoda; Insecta; Hymenoptera; Megachilidae
Source: RefSeq, a predicted model, not a curated record
UGAGCAGAGUGCUUUAGCGCUCCACGGGCGGCUUACCCACGUUCCUUGGAUUUGAAAAUCCCUAGAAGAACGAAGAAUCACGCAACAACACCAAGCACGUGGCGCCAUCGCGCCGCCAAAUCGACCGUCACAAUAAAUAAGAGAGGAGAAGACCCCAAAAUAAUCAAUAAAUAACACGAACUCAAGGAGAUUCCCUAAAAGGAAAAGGAAAACUUAGUCCGCACCGCUCUCAACGGGGAAACGUCCAAUGAUCAGUGAUCCGUCGAUAAUUGCCGAGAAACCAGUCAAAAUCAAAAUUCAAAACUCAAAACACAAACUUUAUCCCAUGUAGAUAUAGGCGGCCACGCAUUGUCGCGAGACAUUACCAUUGUAAGCACUUACCAUGGAGCAAUCAGUUGCAUACCCCAAAAUUAAAGAUUAGAGCGAUAACAAAAUAUAAUCUACAAUAAGAAAAGAGUUUAAAUUAUGUAAAUUCGACAGAAUACAAGGAAUAGCAUGUACAACCGAAAUUGAGCAAAAUAUAGCUUACAUAAACCAUCA